AGAAUCAACGCUGGCGGCGUGCCUAACACAUGCAAGUCGAACGAGAAAGUGGAGCAAUCCAUGAGUAAAGUGGCGCACGGGUGAGUAACACGUGACUAACCUACCUUUUAGUGGGGGAUAACCUAGGGAAACCUGGGCUAAUACCGCAUAAUACCUACGGGUCAAAGCAGCAAUGCGCUGAUAGAGGGGGUCGCGGCCGAUUAGCUAGUUGGCGGGGUAAUGGCCCACCAAGGCAGUGAUCGGUAUCCGGCCUGAGAGGGCGCACGGACACACUGGAACUGAAACACGGUCCAGACUCCUACGGGAGGCAGCAGUGGGGAAUUUUGCGCAAUGGGGGAAACCCUGACGCAGCAACGCCGCGUGGAGGAUGAAGUCCCUUGGGACGUAAACUCCUUUCGAUCGGGACGAUAAUGACGGUACCGGAAGAAGAGCCCCGGCUAACUUCGUGCCAGCAGCCGC
Molecule: ribosomal RNA, 459 nt
Filed under: uncultured bacterium
Lineage: Bacteria
Description: SSU rRNA
Rfam family: Bacterial small subunit ribosomal RNA
Source: RNAcentral